UAGGGAAUCUUCCGCAAUGGGCGAAAGCCUGACGGAGCAACGCCGCGUGAGUGAUGAAGGUCUUCGGAUCGUAAAACUCUGUUAUUAGGGAAGAACAAAUGUGUAAGUAACUAUGCACGUCUUGACGGUACCUAAUCAGAAAGCCACGGCUAACUACGUGCCAGCAGCCGCGGUAAUACGUAGGUGGCAAGCGUUAUCCGGAAUUAUUGGGCGUAAAGCGCGCGUAGGCGGUUUUUUAAGUCUGAUGUGAAAGCCCACGGCUCAACCGUGGAGGGUCAUUGGAAACUGGAAAACUUGAGUGCAGAAGAGGAAAGUGGAAUUCCAUGUGUAGCGGUGAAAUGCGCAGAGAUAUGGAGGAGCACCAGUGGCGAAGGCGACUUUCUGGUCUGUAACUGACGCUGAUGUGCGAAAGCGUGGGGAUCAAACAGG
Molecule: ribosomal RNA, 429 nt
Filed under: Actinomycetes bacterium
Lineage: Bacteria; Bacillati; Actinomycetota; Actinomycetes
Also listed under: 1 other name
Description: Actinobacteria bacterium partial 16S ribosomal RNA
Rfam family: Bacterial small subunit ribosomal RNA
Source: RNAcentral